This 465-nucleotide ribosomal RNA is filed under the name Vreelandella stevensii. RNAcentral describes it as "partial 16S ribosomal RNA". It matches the Rfam family "Bacterial small subunit ribosomal RNA", at positions 338 to 795 of the family's 1533-position model. The record is from RNAcentral. Lineage: Bacteria; Pseudomonadati; Pseudomonadota; Gammaproteobacteria; Oceanospirillales; Halomonadaceae.
CCUACGGGUGGCUGCAGUGGGGAAUAUUGGACAAUGGGCGAAAGCCUGAUCCAGCCAUGCCGCGUGUGUGAAGAAGGCCUUCGGGUUGUAAAGCACUUUCAGUGGGGAAGAAAGCCUUGGGGCUAAUACCCUCGAGGAAGGACAUCACCCACAGAAGAAGCACCGGCUAACUCCGUGCCAGCAGCCGCGGUAAUACGGAGGGUGCGAGCGUUAAUCGGAAUUACUGGGCGUAAAGCGCGCGUAGGCGGUCUGAUAAGCCGGUUGUGAAAGCCCCGGGCUCAACCUGGGAACGGCAUCCGGAACUGUCAGGCUAGAGUGCAGGAGAGGAAGGUAGAAUUCCCGGUGUAGCGGUGAAAUGCGUAGAGAUCGGGAGGAAUACCAGUGGCGAAGGCGGCCUUCUGGACUGACACUGACGCUGAGGUGCGAAAGCGUGGGAAGCAAACAGGAUUAGAUACCCGUGUAGUC